GACGAACGCUGGCGGCGUGCUUAACACAUGCAAGUCGAACGGAAAGGCCCUGCUUUUGUGGGGUGCUCGGGGGGGAACCGGGGGAGAAACAGGUAGUUACCCUGCCCUUGACUUUGGGUAAACUUCAGGAACUUGGGGUAAAUACGGAUAAGAGGCUCCUGUUGCAGGGGGGGGUUUGAAAGUUUUGGCGGGUGGGGCUGGCACCGGGGCUUCUCCAGCUGUUGGUGGGGGAGUGGCUUACCAAGGCUUUGACGGGUAGCCGGCCUGAGAGGGUGACCGGCCACAUUGGGACUGAGAUACGGCCCAGACUCCUACGGGAGGCAGCAGUGGGGAAUAUUGCACAAUGGGCGGAAGCCUGAUGCAGCAACGCCGCGUGCGGGAUGACGGCCUUCGGGUUGUAAACCGCUUUCGCCUGUGACGAAGCGUGAGUGACGGUAAUGGGUAAAGAAGCACCGGCUAACUACGUG
RNAcentral lists this ribosomal RNA (467 nucleotides) under uncultured bacterium. RNAcentral's name for it is "partial 16S ribosomal RNA". It matches the Rfam family "Bacterial small subunit ribosomal RNA", at positions 28 to 507 of the family's 1533-position model. The record is from RNAcentral.